This 200-nucleotide ribosomal RNA is filed under the name uncultured bacterium. RNAcentral describes it as "partial 16S ribosomal RNA". It matches the Rfam family "Bacterial small subunit ribosomal RNA", at positions 335 to 527 of the family's 1533-position model. The record is from RNAcentral.
ACUCCUACGGGAGGCAGCAGUGGGGAAUAUUGGACAAUGGGCGAAAGCCUGAUGCAGCCAUGCCGCGUGUAUGAAGAAGGCCUUCGGGUUGUAAAGUACUUUCAGUCGUGAGGAAGGGUGUGUAGUUAAUAGCUGCACAUCUUGACGUUAGCGACAGAAGAAGCACCGGCUAACUCCGUGCCAGCAGCCGCGGUAAUACA